AACGAACGCUGGCGGCAUGCCUAACACAUGCAAGUCGAACGAGACCUUCGGGUCUAGUGGCGCACGGGUGCGUAACGCGUGGGAACCUGCCUUUAGGUUCGGAAUAACUCAGAGAAAUUUGAGCUAAUACCGGAUAAUGUCUUCGGACCAAAGAUUUAUCGCCUUUAGAUGGGCCCNCGUUGGAUUAGCUAGUUGGUGGGGUAAAGCCUACCAAGGCGACGAUCCAUAGCUGGUCUGAGAGGAUGAUCAGCCACACUGGGACUGAGACACGGCCCAGACUCCUACGGGAGGCAGCAGUGGGGAAUAUUGGGCAAUGGGCGAAAGCCUGAUCCAGCAAUGCCGCGUGAGUGAUGAAGGCCUUA
Molecule: ribosomal RNA, 362 nt
Filed under: uncultured bacterium
Lineage: Bacteria
Description: bacterial SSU rRNA
Rfam family: Bacterial small subunit ribosomal RNA
Source: RNAcentral